UACCAGCACCCCGAGUGGUCGGGACGAUUAUUGGGCCUAAAGCAUCCGUAGCCGGUUCUGCAAGUCUUCCGUUAAAUCCACCUGCUUAACAGAUGGGCUGCGGAGGAUACUAUGGAGCUAGGAGGCGGGAGAGGCAAGCGGUACUUAGUGGGUAGGGGUAAAAUCCGUUGAUCCAUUGAAGACCACCAGUGGCGAAGGCGGCUUGCCAGAACGCACUCGACGGUGAGGGAUGAAAGCUGGGGGAGCAAACCGG
This 253-nucleotide ribosomal RNA is filed under the name uncultured bacterium. Its description in RNAcentral is "partial 16S ribosomal RNA". It matches the Rfam family "Archaeal small subunit ribosomal RNA", at positions 474 to 727 of the family's 1478-position model. The record is from RNAcentral.